GGUUAAGCGACUAAGCGUACACGGUGGAUGCCCUGGCAGUCAGAGGCGAUGAAGGACGUGCUAAUCUGCGAUAAGCGUCGGUAAGGUGAUAUGAACCGAUAUAACCGGCGAUUUCCGAAUGGGGAAACCCAGUGUGUUUCGACACACUAUCAUUAACUGAAUCCAUAGGUUAAUGAGGCGAACCGGGGGAACUGAAACAUCUAAGUACCCCGAGGAAAAGAAAUCA
RNAcentral lists this ribosomal RNA (226 nucleotides) under Escherichia coli. RNAcentral describes it as "partial 23S ribosomal RNA". It matches the Rfam family "Bacterial large subunit ribosomal RNA", at positions 1 to 227 of the family's 2925-position model. Lineage: Bacteria; Pseudomonadati; Pseudomonadota; Gammaproteobacteria; Enterobacterales; Enterobacteriaceae. The record is from RNAcentral.